UGGCCAUACCAUGCUGAAUAUACCGGUUCUCGUUAGAUCACCGAAGUCAAGCACCAUUGGGCACGGUCAGUACUUGGGUGGGUGACCACCUGGGAACACCGCGUGCCGUU
Molecule: ribosomal RNA, 110 nt
Filed under: Caerostris darwini
Lineage: Eukaryota; Metazoa; Arthropoda; Arachnida; Araneae; Araneidae
Source: RNAcentral